Molecule: ribosomal RNA, 377 nt
Filed under: uncultured bacterium
Lineage: Bacteria
Description: bacterial SSU rRNA
Rfam family: Bacterial small subunit ribosomal RNA
Source: RNAcentral
UACGGGGGAUGCAAGCGUUAUUCGGAAUUACUGGGCGUAAAGGGCGCGUAGGCGGUGAUAUAAGUCAGAUGUGAAAACCAUCGGCUUAACCGAUUGGAUUGCAUUUGAUACUGUAUCACUUGAGUUCAGUAGAGGAGAGUGGAAUUCCCAGUGUAGCGGUGGAAUGCGUAGAUAUUGGGAAGAACACCAGUGGCGAAGGCGGCUCUCUGGACUGAUACUGACGCUGAGGCGCGAAAGCUAGGGGAGCGAACAGGAUUAGAUACCCUGGUAGUCCUAGCCGUAAACGAUGGGUGCUAGGUGUUGGGGGUUUCCAUGCCCUCAGUGCCGAAGCUAACGCAUUAAGCACCCCGCCUGGGGAGUACGGCCGCAAGGUUGAA